GUAGGUGGCAAGCGUUGUCCGGAAUUAUUGGGCGUAAAGCGCGCGCAGGCGGUUCUUUAAGUCUGACGUGAAAGCCCACGGCUCAACCGUGGAGGGUCAUUGGAAACUGGAGAACUUGUGUACAGAAGAGGAAAGCGGAAUUCCACGUGUAGCGGUGAAAUGCGUAGAGAUGUGGAGGAACACCAGUGGCGAAGGCGGCUUUUCUGGUCUGUAACUGACGCUGAGGCGCGAAAGCGUGGGGAGCAAACAGGGAUUAGAUACCCUGGUAGUCCACGCCGUAAACGAUGAGUGCUAAGUGUUAGGGGGGUUUCCGCCCCCUUAGUGCUGCAGCUAACGCAUUAAGCACUCCGCCUGGGGAUACGGCCGCAAGGCUG
RNAcentral lists this ribosomal RNA (374 nucleotides) under uncultured organism. Its description in RNAcentral is "partial 16S ribosomal RNA". It matches the Rfam family "Bacterial small subunit ribosomal RNA", at positions 527 to 896 of the family's 1533-position model. The record is from RNAcentral.